Molecule: long non-coding RNA, 362 nt
Filed under: Mytilus galloprovincialis (Mediterranean mussel)
Lineage: Eukaryota; Metazoa; Mollusca; Bivalvia; Mytilida; Mytilidae
Source: RNAcentral
UCCCCGAUUAAUUAUAUAUCUUUAAUGUUUUAACAAUGUUUUAGUUUUACUUCACAUAAUCAAUAAAGUUAUAAAAAUAGAUUUAUGAGUAUCUUAACUACAUUGGUUGGUACACUUCGAUCUUUUUGGUAAUAAGAAGGACCGGAGGUAUGUAAACUGGUUCCCGGUUGAUUACUACACAUGAUAAUACAAGCAGAUUCCAGUUUGUAUGUAAAAUAGUAAAUACGAAACCAAGCGCGGUAGGCGGAGAAAUGUAAUGGGGAAGAAAAUAUACGAAACCAAGCGAGGAAGGCAGAGAAAUGUAAUGGAAGUUCAGGUCAGCAGUAUUGGAACAAGACGCUGAAAGCGUCAUUUUCCAAAAA